This 815-nucleotide ribosomal RNA is filed under the name uncultured bacterium. RNAcentral's name for it is "bacterial SSU rRNA". It matches the Rfam family "Bacterial small subunit ribosomal RNA", at positions 71 to 858 of the family's 1533-position model. The record is from RNAcentral.
UCGGAGUGCUUGCACUCUGUGAAACAAGAUACAGGCUAGCGGCGGACGGGUGAGUAACACGUGGGUAACCUGCCCAAGAGAUCGGGAUAACACCUGGAAACAGAUGCUAAUACCGGAUAACAACAGAUGAUGCCUAUCAACUGUUUAAAAGAUGGUUCUGCUAUCACUCUUGGAUGGACCUGCGGUGCAUUAGCUAGUUGGUAGGGUAACGGCCUACCAAGGCGAUGAUGCAUAGCCGAGUUGAGAGACUGAUCGGCCACAUUGGGACUGAGACACGGCCCAAACUCCUACAGGAGGCAGCAGUAGGGAAUCUUCCACAAUGGACGCAAGUCUGAUGGAGCAACGCCGCGUGAGUGAAGAAGGGUUUCGGCUCGUAAAGCUCUGUUGUUGGUGAAGAAGGACAGGGGUAGUAACUGACCUUUGUUUGACGGUAAUCAAUUAGAAAGUCACGGCUAACUACGUGCCAGCAGCCGCGGUAAUACGUAGGUGGCAAGCGUUGUCCGGAUUUAUUGGGCGUAAAGCGAGUGCAGGCGGCUCGAUAAGUCUGAUGUGAAAGCCUUCGGCUCAACCGGAGAAUUGCAUCAGAAACUGUCGAGCUUGAGUACAGAAGAGGAGAGUGGAACUCCAUGUGUAGCGGUGAAAUGCGUAGAUAUAUGGAAGAACACCGGUGGCGAAGGCGGCUCUCUGGUCUGUUACUGACGCUGAGGCUCGAAAGCAUGGGUAGCGAACAGGAUUAGAUACCCUGGUAGUCCAUGCCGUAAACGAUGAGUGCUAAGUGUUGGGAGGUUUCCGCCUCUCAGUGCUGCAGCUAACGC